Molecule: long non-coding RNA, 267 nt
Filed under: Elaeis guineensis (African oil palm)
Lineage: Eukaryota; Viridiplantae; Streptophyta; Magnoliopsida; Arecales; Arecaceae
Description: long non-coding RNA (EGUI_LNC061248)
Source: RNAcentral
AGGAAGAGUCCUUCUAUAGAUUAAACACUUCCUAUUCCAUGCCUUGCUCUUGGGAUUGCAUGCUAAAAAUUUAUGUUGUGGCAUGUAUGAAUUAAGGAACGCCAAGAGUUGGCAUCCCAUGGUGUCGCCCCUUCUUUCCUAUAAAUAGGGGGCGCUACACCUGGUUUAGUAUGCCAAUUUUAGCUGAGAGUAGGCAUGAAAAUGAGAAGAAAAUGAUGGAAAAAAGUCUGGAAAAAAGAUAAGAAAAAGGGAGAGAAAAAUAGAAAG